GGUGCAUCAGCAGAAGAGGAGAAAGAAAGACAAGAAGGUGGGGAAGAAGAUAUAAAUAAUGCUGGCACUUGUGCUGUCCAUGAAGAGCUGGAUUUGGGACAAAUGUACCUUACCUGUUUGCCUGAGCGAUAUAUGAGAGUGAAACUCACUCAGACAGUGUACCUGAUAUGCUGGCUGCUGCUGAAACUCUGCAAGAAAGCCUAUGAGAAAAGACUGUCUGCUUCUAAAAAGGAGUGCCAAGGGGAUGCUGUAAGAAGGACUGCUGGAAAAAGAGAAGAGAGACCUUCUGAGAAGACACAGUGCCACACUGAG
Molecule: long non-coding RNA, 312 nt
Organism: Camarhynchus parvulus
Lineage: Eukaryota; Metazoa; Chordata; Aves; Passeriformes; Thraupidae
Exons: 3
Source: RefSeq, a predicted model, not a curated record